This 808-nucleotide long non-coding RNA is filed under the name Homo sapiens (human). RNAcentral's name for it is "HSALNT0332047". Lineage: Eukaryota; Metazoa; Chordata; Mammalia; Primates; Hominidae. The record is from RNAcentral.
GUUCCAUCUCAGAUUCGGCAGAACCAGAGAACAUUCUUGGCCUCAGUGGCAAGUUUCAUGCGCGUCCAUGUGAAGAGACCACCAAACAGACUUUGUGUGAGCAAUAAAGCUUUUAAUCACCUGGGUGCAGGUGGGCUGAGUCCGAAAAGAGUCAGCGAAGGGAGAUGGGGUGGGGCCGUUUUAUAGGAUUUGGGAAGGUAAUGGAAAAUUACAGUCAAAGGGGGUUGUUCUCUGGUGGGCAGGGGUGGGGGUCACAAGGUGCUCAGUGGGGGAGCUUCUGAGCCAGGAGAAGGAAAUUCACAGGGUUAAUCACUCAGUUAAGGUGGGGCAGGAACAAAUCACAAUGGUGGAAUGUCAUCAGUUAAGGUGGGGCAGGUCCUUUUCACUUCUUUUGUGAUUCUUCAGUUACUUCAGACCAUCUGGGCAUAUACAUGCAAGUCACAGGGGAUGCGAUGGCUUGGCCUGGAAGCCAGGAUUGACUUGAUAUCUAAAUCAAAAGACUCAUUUUGGGUCAUCAUAGGUUAGUUCCUUUCCCUGCCUGCAGCAUUCCUGUCUGAAGUCUAGGCGUUUACUACAGCCCACUUCACUGGUCUUUCCCAACUUUCAGCACUCCAUCUGUACUCUGGAGGGUUCAAAGAUGUGAUUUUGCAGCAAAGUUCUCCCCACCCCAGCCAGAAAUUUGCUGCCUCAAAUGAGCUGCUAAAGGUGGAUUUCCUGUUUUCUAAGCUUCCACAUCACAGUGAAUGUAACUGAACAAGGGAUAUUGUGGAUUUUCUCUUGGGCCCUCCCCACUGAUUACAGAACCGUG